Molecule: long non-coding RNA, 215 nt
Filed under: Elaeis guineensis (African oil palm)
Lineage: Eukaryota; Viridiplantae; Streptophyta; Magnoliopsida; Arecales; Arecaceae
Description: long non-coding RNA (EGUI_LNC036828)
Source: RNAcentral
GGCAUUAGAUAUCAGAAGUCUAUACAAAUUAUUGUAAUGACUUUAGGAUAGUAGAAAGUUUGAAAAUAGCAAGAGAUUUUUGAACAUUGGAGAUGGAAGUUAUGUUCUAAUCCUGAUUUUAGAAAUUGUCAGGCCUAUUUUUAAUUCUAAUAAUGUUAUUUUAGUGAUUGUCACUAUUGUCUAAUAAUUUUGUAAUAUCAUUAUGAAUGAUGUUA